UUAACACAGCCGAGACCUGUUUUCACCAAUCACAUAAGCUCCUCUCCUUGCCUUUAAAUCCACCACAGGCGAGGCGUAUUACUAUUUUCAUGAAGUAGUCAAAGAGAUCAAGAGAUGUCUUAAGACAGUAAUGCCACAAGAUGGCGACAGAGGGCAGCUCCUCAACAAGUGUCCUCCACACUCUCUCAUAUGAGCACAGAUGGAUUUGGUGUGUGUAAUGUUGGACCCACUGGUAAGACAAACACCCUUUUCCACAAAUAAAG
Molecule: non-coding RNA, 263 nt
Organism: Xyrichtys novacula (pearly razorfish)
Lineage: Eukaryota; Metazoa; Chordata; Actinopteri; Labriformes; Labridae
Source: the annotation of a GenBank genome assembly